This is a non-coding RNA of Camelina sativa (false flax), 755 nucleotides long. NCBI's taxonomy places the organism in Eukaryota, Viridiplantae, Streptophyta, Magnoliopsida, Brassicales, Brassicaceae. The record is from RefSeq and is a predicted model, not a curated record.
GUACCAAUUAAAGAUGAUGAUAUGGGAAUUACUUGGGGUGAUGAAGGAAAACCAGGAACUUCACAAAGGCACAAAAGUAAUUGAUCAGGAAUCUGCAACCCUUGCAGACAUGAACAUAUUCCCUGGUGACAAGCUUUGGGUGAGAGAUACUGAGAUGCAUGAACACCGCGAUAUUGCUGAUGAGUUAUGUGAUAAGAAAACGGGAGGUCAAGAUAUCGAAGAAGGGUUUCGAGGGACGCUAUUGACUGGGGAUAUCUCUUCUAAAGCCUGUUAGGAAUUGUAUUUUGAGAUCAAAGUGUAAAAAGAGAAUGUGUGAGAAAGAGUCAUUGGACCAUCUAGAAGAGUAGUUGUGCAGGAGACAGACGAGACAUUUUUUGGGUCAGUUUUUUGUGAAGGCAAGCAAGGCUUUGGAGCUUUGUUUUGUGUGUAAAAAACAAACGCAAAGAUUUGGAGAAAGCUUGCACUAGCUGAAUUUGUGUAGAUUCAAAGGCUUAUUGUGGAUGGCUAUUCGAAGCUGACUUUGUGUGUGUUUUAGGUGUAUACUUUAGCUAAAUGAGCAUUGCGUUUUAAACUCCUCUCUCUCUCUCUCUCUCUCUCUCUCUCGUUAGAGCUAAAGAGUAACUGUUUGUGUUACUCAUCUAGUGACUUUUUGAUUUAGCAAAAAAACAAAAAUCUAGUGGCCUUUUGCCCUAAUAUGUAUAUAUAUGAACCAAACUCAUGAAUCCGGAGUUAGUGUUUUUGUUCACUAGAUUAUA